RNAcentral lists this small nuclear RNA (170 nucleotides) under Oncorhynchus mykiss (rainbow trout). Its description in RNAcentral is "U2 spliceosomal RNA (ENSOMYG00000002950.2)". It matches the Rfam family "U2 spliceosomal RNA". From Rfam's summary of the family: U2 is a small nuclear RNA (snRNA) component of the spliceosome (involved in pre-mRNA splicing). Complementary binding between U2 snRNA (in an area lying towards the 5' end but 3' to hairpin I) and the branchpoint sequence (BPS) of the intron results the bulging out of an unpaired adenosine, on the BPS, which initiates a nucleophilic attack at the intronic 5' splice site, thus starting the first of two transesterification reactions that mediate splicing. Lineage: Eukaryota; Metazoa; Chordata; Actinopteri; Salmoniformes; Salmonidae. The record is from RNAcentral.
AUAUAUAUAUAUAUAUAUAUGUUCUUAUCAGUUUAAUAUCUGAUAUGUCCCCUAUCUGGGGACCAUAUAUUAAAUUGAUUUUUGGAACAGGGAGAUGGAAUAGGGGCUCGCUCCGUCCACUCCACGCACCGACCUGGUAUUGCAGUACCUCCAGGAACGGUCCACCACGU